AUGGAAGACAACCUUAGAGUUAUUUUCUGGAACGUGCGCGGGCUCAAUAAUGCGGCCAAGCGCGCGGCUGUCCGGCCUGUUAUUGCCUCGGCCUCCCCCUGUAUUGUUUGUCUCCAGGAAUCUAAACUCGCUUUGGUCUCGUCGGUGCUUGUUUGCGAGACCCUCGGCCCUGCCUUUGACAAAUUCUUCUGGUUGCCCGCGGAGGGCACGCGCGGCGGCAUCAUCUUAGCGUGGAAUAGUGAUCGGGUCGCCCUGUCGAACCCGUCCAUUGGAGAUCACCACGUCUCUGCCGUAGUUACCGCCACCGCUGGUGGCGCCCACUGAUGGAUCACUGGCGUUUAUGGCCCCCAAGGGGAUGAUGCUAAGCUGGCUUUCCUUACCGAGCUUCAACAGCUCCGAUCUACUAUGGCCGGGCCUUGGCUUUUGGAUGGUGAUUUUAACAUGAUUGCCUCGGCCAGUGACAAAAGCAAUGACCGCACUAAUAGGCGCACGAUGAACAGAUUCCGACGUUUUAUCUCGGAUCAUGGUCUCCACGACAUCUACCUCCAUGGACGGCGCUACACUUGGUCCAAUGAGCAGGACAACCCGACCCUGGUCCAUAAUGACCGUGUGCUAUGUACCCCGUCAUGGGAUCUCGACCACGCUCACUGCCUCCUGUGUUGUCUGGCGUGCAUGGGUACACAGAUCUAG
This 690-nucleotide ribosomal RNA is filed under the name Triticum aestivum (bread wheat). RNAcentral's name for it is "partial small subunit ribosomal RNA". The record is from RNAcentral. Lineage: Eukaryota; Viridiplantae; Streptophyta; Magnoliopsida; Poales; Poaceae.